RNAcentral lists this ribosomal RNA (432 nucleotides) under Campylobacter sp. oral taxon G43. RNAcentral's name for it is "bacterial SSU rRNA". It matches the Rfam family "Bacterial small subunit ribosomal RNA", at positions 29 to 477 of the family's 1533-position model. The record is from RNAcentral. Lineage: Bacteria; Pseudomonadati; Campylobacterota; Epsilonproteobacteria; Campylobacterales; Campylobacteraceae.
AGUGAACGCUGGCGGCGUGCCUAAUACAUGCAAGUCGAACGGAGAUUAAGUAGCUUGCUAUUUAAUCUUAGUGGCGCACGGGUGAGUAAUAUAUAGCUAAUCUGCCCUACACUAGAGGACAACAGUUGGAAACGACUGCUAAUACUCUAUACUCCUUCUAAGCAUAAGCUUAGUCGGGAAAGUUUUUCGGUGUAGGAUGAGGCUAUAUCGUAUCAGCUAGUUGGUGAGGUAAUGGCUCACCAAGGCUAUGACGCGUAACUGGUCUGAGAGGAUGAUCAGUCACACUGGAACUGAGACACGGUCCAGACUCCUACGGGAGGCAGCAGUAGGGAAUAUUGCUCAAUGGGGGAAACCCUGAAGCAGCAACGCCGCGUGGAGGAUGACACUUUUCGGAGCGUAAACUCCUUUUCUUGGGAAAGAAUUAUGACGGUA